Molecule: non-coding RNA, 206 nt
Organism: Zea mays
Lineage: Eukaryota; Viridiplantae; Streptophyta; Magnoliopsida; Poales; Poaceae
Source: Rfam
UGUGAGCCCAAGAGGAUUGGAUGUCAAUGGUUAAAUAUUUUUACAAUUUUUUUAGGAAAAAAAAUUCUGUUUACAAUUCUCGAAAAAAAAGAAAAAGAAAACUCAGCGAUUUAAACCCGCACAUACAUCGGUGUGUUGCGGUGAGAGCCGGAAUAUACCCGGUUGCUCCCCCUUGGAUCCUUGUUUGCUUCCUGCUGCCUGGCCUU